This 460-nucleotide ribosomal RNA is filed under the name uncultured bacterium. RNAcentral describes it as "partial 16S ribosomal RNA". It matches the Rfam family "Bacterial small subunit ribosomal RNA", at positions 338 to 795 of the family's 1533-position model. The record is from RNAcentral.
CCUACGGGAGGCAGCAGUGAGGAAUAUUGGUCAAUGGACGAGAGUCUGAACCAGCCAAGUAGCGUGAAGGAUGACUGCCCUAUGUGUUGUAAACUUCUUUUAUAAAGGAAUAAAACGAGGCACGUGUGCCUUUUUGCAUGUACUUUAUGAAUAAGGAUCGGCUAACUCCGUGCCAGCAGCCGCGGUAAUACGGAGGAUCCGAGCGUUAUCCGGAUUUAUUGGGUUUAAAGGGAGCGUAGAUGGGUUGUUAAGUCAGUUGUGAAAGUUUGCGGCUCAACCGUAAAAUUGCAAUUGAUACUGGCAGUCGUGAGUACAGUUGAGGUAGGCGGAAUUCGUGGUGUAGCGGUGAAAUGCUUAGAUAUCACGAAGAACUCCGAUUGCGAAGGCAGCUUACUAGACUGCCACUGACAUUGAUGCUCGAAAGUGUGGGUAUCAAACAGGAUUAGAUACCCUUGUAGUC